This 918-nucleotide ribosomal RNA is filed under the name uncultured Bacteroidota bacterium. RNAcentral describes it as "bacterial SSU rRNA". It matches the Rfam family "Bacterial small subunit ribosomal RNA", at positions 1 to 916 of the family's 1533-position model. RNAcentral also lists the same sequence under 1 other name. Lineage: Bacteria; Pseudomonadati; Bacteroidota. The record is from RNAcentral.
GGAUCCAGACUUUGAUUAUGGCUCAGGAUGAACGCUAGCGGCAGGCUUAACACAUGCAAGUCGAGGGGCAGCGCGGGGCGGCAACGUCCUGGCGGCGACCGGCGGAAGGGUGCGUAACGCGUGAGCGACAUGCCCGUUGCCCGGGGACAACCGGUGGAAACGCCGACUAAUCCCCGAUGGGACGGAGGCCCUCAUGGGUCUCUGUUGAAAGUUACGGCGGCGACGGAUUGGCUCGCGUCCGAUUAGCUUGUUGGCGGGGUAACGGCCCACCAAGGCUACGAUCGGUAGGGGUUCUGAGAGGAAGGUCCCCCACAAUGGAACUGAGACACGGUCCAUACUCCUACGGGAGGCAGCAGUGAGGAAUAUUGGUCAAUGGGCGGAAGCCUGAACCAGCCAUGCCGCGUGCGGGAAGGAGGCCCUAUGGGCUGUGAACCGCUUUUGCCUGGGGGCAAUAAGGGCGUCGCGCACGUCCGAUGAGAGUACCAGGGGAAUAAGCAUCGGCUAACUCCGUGCCAGCAGCCGCGGUAAUACGGGGGAUGCGAGCGUUAUCCGGAUUCAUUGGGUUUAAAGGGUGCGUAGGCUGUGCGUCAAGUCAGGGGUGAAAUUCCGGGGCUCAACUCCGGGGCUGCCCUUGAUACUGUCGCGCUGGAGUGCGGAUGCCGCCGGAGGAAUGAGUGGUGUAGCGGUGAAAUGCUUAGAUAUCACUCAGAACACCGAUUGCGAAGGCAUCUGGCGAAUCCGUAACUGACGCUGAGGCACGAAAGCGUGGGGAUAGAACAGGAUUAGAUACCCUGGUAUUCCACGCCGUAAACGAUGAUGGCUAACCGCCGGCGACAUACUGUCGGUGGCCAAGCGAAAGCGAUAAGCCAUCCACCUGGGGAGUACGUCGGCAACGAUGCAACUCAAAUGAAUUGACGG